UCCUGGCUCAGGACGAACGCUGGCGGCGUGCUUAACACAUGCAAGUCGAACGAUGAAGCCGCUUCGGUGGUGGAUUAGUGGCGAACGGGUGAGUAACACGUGGGCAAUCUGCCCUUCACUCUGGGACAAGCCCUGGAAACGGGGUCUAAUACCGGAUAAUACUCUGUUCCGCAUGGAACGGGGUUGAAAGCUCCGGCGGUGAAGGAUGAGCCCGCGGCCUAUCAGCUUGUUGGUGGGGUAAUGGCCUACCAAGGCGACGACGGGUAGCCGGCCUGAGAGGGCGACCGGCCACACUGGGACUGAGACACGGCCCAGACUCCUACGGGAGGCAGCAGUGGGGAAUAUUGCACAAUGGGCGAAAGCCUGAUGCAGCGACGCCGCGUGAGGGAUGACGGCCUUCGGGUUGUAAACCUCUUCAGCAGGGAAGAAGCGCAAGUGAC
Molecule: ribosomal RNA, 440 nt
Filed under: Streptomyces sp. 7BC7
Lineage: Bacteria; Bacillati; Actinomycetota; Actinomycetes; Kitasatosporales; Streptomycetaceae
Description: bacterial SSU rRNA
Rfam family: Bacterial small subunit ribosomal RNA
Source: RNAcentral